GGAUCAUCCUGUUAGGUUUAAAGAUGGAAAUCAGUCUAUUGAGAAUGAGAAGAGAAGAGUCCAGCAGCAGAGAGCAGACUCCCCUGGACCCAGCUGUGUCUCCAUGAAGAGCGACUGGUCUAUGGAUAAACCUCCUGAGUUUAAAGAUGGAUGUCCUUCCAGAGAGGAGAGACACCAGGAGAGGUCAAAGGUUACCAGUGCUAAGUCUCUACAGCAGCAUCAAACAGA
Molecule: long non-coding RNA, 228 nt
Organism: Gadus morhua (Atlantic cod)
Lineage: Eukaryota; Metazoa; Chordata; Actinopteri; Gadiformes; Gadidae
Exons: 3
Source: RefSeq, a predicted model, not a curated record